GAUGAACGCUCGCGGCAGGCCUAACACAUGCAAGUCGAGGGAGAGGUUACCUUCGGGUCACCAAAACCGGCGCACGGGUGCGUAACGCGUAUACAAUCUGCCUUUCACAUAGGGAUAGCCCGAAGAAAUUUGGAUUAAUACCUAAUGGUAUAUAAGAGCGGCAUCGUUUUUAUAUUAAAGCUACGGUGGUGAAAGAUGAGUAUGCGUUCUAUUAGCUAGUUGGAGAGGUAACGGCUCCCCAAGGCGACGAUAGAUAGGGGUUCUGAGAGGGAUGUCCCCCACACUGGUACUGAGAUACGGACCAGACUCCUACGGGAGGCAGCAGUGAGGAAUAUUGGACAAUGGUCGGAAGACUGAUCCAGCCAUGCCGCGUGCAGGAUGAAGGUCCUAUGGAUUGUAAACUGCUUUUGUAAGGGAAGAAUAAGGAGUACGUGUACUUUGAUGACGGUACCUUACGAAUAAGCAUCGGCUAACUCCGUG
RNAcentral lists this ribosomal RNA (480 nucleotides) under uncultured bacterium. RNAcentral's name for it is "partial 16S ribosomal RNA". It matches the Rfam family "Bacterial small subunit ribosomal RNA", at positions 28 to 507 of the family's 1533-position model. The record is from RNAcentral.